Lupinus albus (white lupine) is the source of this 900-nucleotide non-coding RNA. The record is from the annotation of a GenBank genome assembly. NCBI's taxonomy places the organism in Eukaryota, Viridiplantae, Streptophyta, Magnoliopsida, Fabales, Fabaceae.
CCUAUUGGUUUUAUUUUCAUUUUAACUCUUUAGAUUAUGUUUCCCCAGCUGGCUUUGUGACUUUUUUUAAGCACAGUUGUAUAUUUUUCCUCCAAAUGGCCAAAACUAGGCUCUAUUCAAAUUUCUAACUACUCAUUAAAAUAUAAAUCAGCAUUUUUGUACCCUCUGUUAUAGCUCAAUACAAGAUACAGAACCACCCUAUUCUUUUAUUAUUAUUCUCUCCUAGCUACCCUUCUGAGCUGCCUAUCUUGACGAAAAAUAAAUUCCAAAAUGCUUUUUCCUUUUGUUUUUAGGAAAGGAAAGUAAAUAUUGCAUUUUGCAUCAAGGAUCCAUGAGUGCUCAUGAUUAUUGUUGGAGUUCUGGAUGGCUGCUAUAGUAACCAUUGAGUCCAACCCUUUUCUGUGUUUGGAUGAAUACAUUUGGUUUUUCAUUAUCCCUCUCUGUACAUUUCGAACAUAACCUUUUUGGCAGUUUAUGAUAAAGAAUAAUCCAAUGUGCAAAAUUAUUUCCCUUAUUUUGCUACAGGUGCUACUUGCUUGUGGGGUUACAAUACAUUAUAUUAUCAUUCAUUUAUUCCAUCUACCCAGUAAGAUUUGUUUACAUAAUUAAUUAUACAUUUUCACAAAAACAAGCUAAUCUAUCUAAAUACGUAUAUUCAAGUGAGGUAGGCAAUAUGUGGAAAAUGGAGACAGAGUGUGAUGCACGUUCAUCUUCACCUUGGCUCCCUACUUUUGCUACUUUGGACGCUAUUGGUGCUACCAAAACUUAAGAGGUGAAAAAGCAGGAGACUGUAAGCUGGGGAAGGAAAUCAAUUACUUCCAUAUUAAUUUCAUUUCGUGCAAGAGGUAAUAAUAGCUUAUCUUCUACCUUCAGCUUUAGAUAUGUCUUAAAUCUUGGGAA